This 385-nucleotide ribosomal RNA is filed under the name uncultured eukaryote. RNAcentral's name for it is "partial 18S ribosomal RNA". It matches the Rfam family "Eukaryotic small subunit ribosomal RNA", at positions 592 to 975 of the family's 1831-position model. The record is from RNAcentral.
CAAUAGCGUAUAUUAAUGUUGUUGCAGUUAAAAAGCUCGUAGUUGGAUUUCUGGUGGAAGCGACCGGUCCGCCCCUCACGGGGUGCGCACUAGCGUCUGUCUUUUGCCAUCCUUGCGAAGAAGCGGUGUGGCAUUAAGUUGUCGCGCCGUCUGACUCGCAUCGUUUACUGUGAAAAAAUUAGAGUGUUUAAAGCAGGCAAUUGCUGUGAAUACAUUAGCAUGGAAUAAUAAGAUAGGACUUUGGUACUAUUUUGUUGGUUUGCAUAUCAAAGUAAUGAUUAACAGGGACAGUUGGGGGUAUUCGUAUUUCGUUGUCAGAGGUGAAAUUCUUGGAUUUAUGAAAGACGAACUACUGCGAAAGCAUUUACCAAGGAUGUUUNCAUUA